CCUACGGGUGGCAGCAGUGGGGGAUAUUGCACAAUGGGGGAAACCCUGAUGCAGCGACGCCGCGUGAGUGAAGAAGUAUUUCGGUAUGUAAAGCUCUAUCAGCAGGGAAGAAAAUGACAGUACCUGACCAAGAAGCCCCGGCUAACUACGUGCCAGCAGCCGCGGGAAUACGUAGGGGGCAAGCGUUAUCCGGAUUUACUGGGUGUAAAGGGGGCGUAGACGGUUAUGUAAGUCUGGAGUGAAAGCCCGGGGCCCAACCCCGGGACUGCUUUGGAAACUGUGUAACUGGAGUACAGGAGGGGCAGGCGGAAUGCCUGGUGUAGCGGUGAAAUGCGUAGAUAUCAGGAGGAACACCGGCGGCGAAGGCGGCCUGCUGGACUGAAACUGACGUUGAGGCUCGAAAGCGUGGGGAGCAAACAGGAUUAGAUACCCGAGUAGUC
This 440-nucleotide ribosomal RNA is filed under the name uncultured bacterium. Its description in RNAcentral is "partial 16S ribosomal RNA". It matches the Rfam family "Bacterial small subunit ribosomal RNA", at positions 338 to 795 of the family's 1533-position model. The record is from RNAcentral.